GACGAACGCUGGCGGCGUGCUUAACACAUGCAAGUCGAACGGAAAGGCCCUGCUUUUGUGGGGUGCUCGAGUGGCGAACGGGUGAGUAACACGUGAGUAACCUGCCCUUGACUUUGGGAUAACUUCAGGAAACUGGGGCUAAUACCGGAUAGGAUCUCCUGCUGCAUGGUGGUGGUUGGAAAGUUUCGGCGGUUGGGGAUGGACUCGCGGCUUAUCAGCUUGUUGGUGGGGUAGUGGCUUACCAAGGCUUUGACGGGUAGCCGGCCUGAGAGGGUGACCGGCCAAAUUGGGACUGAGAGACGGCCCAGACUCCAACGGGAGGCAGCAGUGGGGAAUAUUGCACAAUGGGCGGAAGCCUGAUGAAGAAACGCCGCGUGCGGGAUGACGGCCUUCGGGUUGUAAACCGAUUUCGACUGAGACGAAGCGUGAGUGACGGUAAUGGGUAAAGAAGCACCGGCUAACUACGUG
Molecule: ribosomal RNA, 468 nt
Filed under: uncultured bacterium
Lineage: Bacteria
Description: partial 16S ribosomal RNA
Rfam family: Bacterial small subunit ribosomal RNA
Source: RNAcentral